Phrynosoma platyrhinos (Desert horned lizard) is the source of this 71-nucleotide non-coding RNA. Lineage: Eukaryota; Metazoa; Chordata; Lepidosauria; Squamata; Phrynosomatidae. The record is from the annotation of a GenBank genome assembly.
GCGAGUGUGGCAUAGUGGUUUGAGUGCUGGACUGAAACUCUUGAGAUCUAGGCUCAAUUCCUAGCUUGGCA